AUUUAAAUGGCAGACUAGUGCAUUAGACUUAAACCCUAAAUAUAAAAAAAUUUUUUUUAAAUA
RNAcentral lists this transfer RNA (63 nucleotides) under Spirobrachia sp. YL-2014. Its description in RNAcentral is "tRNA-Leu". Lineage: Eukaryota; Metazoa; Annelida; Polychaeta; Sabellida; Siboglinidae. The record is from RNAcentral.